RNAcentral lists this ribosomal RNA (468 nucleotides) under uncultured bacterium. RNAcentral describes it as "partial 16S ribosomal RNA". It matches the Rfam family "Bacterial small subunit ribosomal RNA", at positions 28 to 507 of the family's 1533-position model. The record is from RNAcentral.
GACGAACGCUGGCGGCGUGCUUAACACAUGCAAGUCGAACGGAAAGGCCCUGCUUUUGUGGGGUGCUCGAGUGGCGAACGGGUGAGUAACACGUGAGUAACCUGCCCUUGACUUUGGGAUAACUUCAGGAAACUGGGGCUAAUACCGGAUAGGAGCUCCUGCUGCAUGGUGGGGGUUGGAAAGUUUCGGCGGUUGGGGUUGGACUCGCGGCUUAUCAGCUUGUUGGUGGGGUAGUGGCUUACCAAGGCUUUGACGGGUAGCCGGCCUGAGAGGGUGACCGGCCACAUUGGGACUGAGAUACGGCCCAGACUCCUACGGGAGGCAGCAGUGGGGAAUAUUGCACAAUGGGCGGAAGCCUGAUGCAGCAACGCCGCGUGCGGGAUGACGGCCUUCGGGUUGUAAACCGCCUUCGCCUGUGACGAAGCGUGAGUGACGGUAAUGGGUAAAGAAGCACCGGCUAACUACGUG